RNAcentral lists this ribosomal RNA (460 nucleotides) under uncultured bacterium. RNAcentral's name for it is "bacterial SSU rRNA". It matches the Rfam family "Bacterial small subunit ribosomal RNA", at positions 32 to 500 of the family's 1533-position model. The record is from RNAcentral.
AAUCAACGCUGGCGGCGUGCCUCAGACAUGCAAGUCGAACGAUUAAAGCUCUCUUCGGAGAGUGUAUAGAGUGGCGCACGGGUGAGUAACACGUAAGUAAUCUACCUUCGAGUGGGGAAUAACGUCCGGAAACGGACGCUAAUACCGCAUAAUGCAGCGGCAUCGCAAGAUGACAGUUGUUAAAGAUUUAUCGCUUGAAGAGGAGCUUGCGGCAGAUUAGCUAGUUGGUAAGGUAAUGGCUUACCAAGGCUACGAUCUGUAACCGGUCUAAGAGGACGGUCGGUCACACUGACACUGAAUAACGGGUCAGACUCCUACGGGAGGCAGCAGUCGGGAAUUUUGGGUCAAUGGGCGAAAGCCUGACCACGCAACGCCGCGUGAAGGAUGAAGUAUUUCGGGUAUGUAAACUUCGAAAGAAUAGGAAGAAUAAAUGACGGUACUAUUUAUAAGGUCCGGCUAA